UGAGUGAUGAAGGCCUUCGGGUUGUAAAGCUCUUUCGUCCGGGAAGAUAAUGACGGUACCUGGAGAAUAAGCCCCGGCUAACUUCGUGCCAGCAGCCGCGGUAAUACGAAGGGGGCUAGCGUUGUUCGGAAUUACUGGGCGUAAAGGGUGCGUAGGCGGUUCUUUAAGUCUGGUGUGAAAUCCCCGGGCUCAACCCGGAAGGUGCCUUUAAUACUGAAGAGCUUGAGUGCGGGAGAGGUGAGUGGAAUUCCUGGUGUAGAGGUGAAAUGCGUAGAUAUUCGGAGGAACACCAGUGGCGAAGGCGGCUCACUGGACCGAUACUGACGCUGAGGCACGAAAGCGUGGGGAGCAAACAGGAUUAGAUACCCUGGUAGUCCACGCCCUAAACGAUGAAUGCUUGCUGUGGGCGGUUCUAUUCGUCCGUGGCGCAGCUAACGCGUUAAACAUUCCGCCUGGGGAGUACAGUCGCAAGACUG
RNAcentral lists this ribosomal RNA (476 nucleotides) under uncultured Alphaproteobacteria bacterium. RNAcentral's name for it is "bacterial SSU rRNA". It matches the Rfam family "Bacterial small subunit ribosomal RNA", at positions 402 to 896 of the family's 1533-position model. The record is from RNAcentral. Lineage: Bacteria; Pseudomonadati; Pseudomonadota; Alphaproteobacteria.